UCAUUUAAUCUUGACACCAUUAGAAAGGUCACAGUCAAUAAUCAAGUGUGUGAAUCUCAAAACAUGCCCCAAUCCAUGCUUCAGUUUUAUGAUAGCACCCCCUCUUUUGGCCAAACCUGCAGCAGUAUUGACAAGAGCUUCACCUUGCCAGGGCCAAACUUGAGUUAUGAUAAAGGAGAUGAAAAUGUCUUCUCAACAUUCCAUCCAUUUGGGAAAGGAGUAGAAAGCUUUGCGUUGAUGGGUCAGUCUCUUCAAAAGGCUGAUUAUAACAUCUUCUCUUAUAACAAGGGACAUGAGAACGUCAUGUCUAAUGCCAAUGUUGUGUUCUCACAAGGCUGUGAGAUGGCAUUUAUGGUUCCUAGCCAAGAAAAAGCAGACAAGAACAGUGAUCAAACUAGUCAAGAGGUUAGAAGACAGACCAUAUCUUUUGGAAAUUAUCAGAAAGAAACCACAAUGGUGUCUCCAGUUCCUGUUAUUACCAGUUUUGAGAACUUCAGCCAUUCUCCUGCAGAGGACAACAUGUCUUCUCAAUAUCCUCCUUACGCCAGUACCUCUAGAGUUGAUACAUUGCUCGCCCCCAAAAGUAAAGACUCAAAGACAGCUAAGAAGGGUUCCACCACAAACACAUUUCCUUCAAAUGUAAAGUCCUUGUUGUCAACAGGAAUGUUUGAUGGGGUUACUGUCAAGUACUACUCCUGGUCACGCGAGGUCAGUCUCUUCUUUUAACCUGGAAUCAACCUUUCACCUUUACCAUGUGCUAAAAACGUUAUCUGGCAGAAAAAUCUCAAAGGAGUUAUAAAGGGGACUGGGUAUCUAUGUGGCUGCAGCGACUGUAACCUUAAUAAAGUAAGCAACGUGAUACCAACACUCUUAGAGUCAUUUACUGGCAUGUCUAUCUAAUACAAAAUCUAAUGCAACAGGUUCUUAAUGCAUAUGAGUUCGAGCAGCAUGCUAACUGCAAGACGAAGCAUCCAAACAAUCACAUAUACUUUGAGAAUGGAAAGACCAUUUAUGGAGUUGUUCAAGAGCUGAAGAAUACGCCUCAGGAGAAGCUGUUCGAUGCUAUUCAAAACGUAACGGGAUCUGAUAUCAACCGUAAAAAUUUCAACACCUGGAAAGGUAAUGUUUCGACAGAGAUAUUUUAAUUCAAUAUAGCAGCUUAAAGCAUGGCAAUACAGAACAAGAUACAAAAGUUAUUGUGUGUUAUAUUGUCUUACAGCAUCGUAUCACGUCGCUAGCCUUGAACUUCAGCGCAUCUAUGGGAAGGAUGCUGUAGUCACUUUGGCAUAGAAGUUAUCAACUGGGAGGCCUUUUUGUUGUAAGAGUAAUCAGUUCUUGUUCUCUGUAACUAUGGCUUUUAAUUAUAAAUCAGAACCUUGAAAUGCUGCUAUGAUGCCUUGUCUGGUGAGUCUAGUUCUUGGCAACUUAAUACAGCGCAUUGCUUGCUCUAGUUCUGGCCAAUUGUACUAUUAAUACUAUCAAAAAUGUUCUUCCUAUUUUUUUUUAUUAAUAGGAGUUUUAGGUAUCAGUUUAUAUGGUUCUUGCAAUAUAUAGAGAGAUAUUGCAACAAAAUCAGCAUCUCAGACAGACUCAUGAGACUGAGUUGCUGCCUUUGGGCUCGUUAACUGGUCACUAUUGAGUGAUAUGUUGUUCUUAUCAGGCUAGUUGGAAUGAUCUGUUCGUCAUUUUUUACCAGUCUUUGUCUUUGCUUUUACCACAUAGUACCAAAUAUAUUCCAAUGACAAUGACUAACACAUGCACUCUCUCCUUUGCUGUCCAUCCAAUAUCAUAGUAUGCCUUGGUCGUCUUUCAAAUAACAUAUAUCCACAAGUUCUGAAGUAGAUUUUUCUUGAAGACUACUACUUGCCCUGAACGACAAUGUGUUUCAAUAAAAUGCUCAAAAGCUCACGAGAUAAGAAAACGCUUGAGAUAAAUAAAUGGCAAAGAGAAUGGAUAAGAAUGUCACACAAGUUCAUCAGAGUUUAUCCGGUUAAUGCAAAAGGAAACACCUUGUCUAUUUCAAGGCGUGUGUUAUGUUAUAAGUACUUCACAUGAGUUGCCAAAAGUAGAUCAAAAAGAAUAAUAAAAAGGGGCUAUAGGUGGUCUAGCUUCUCCCUGAUAUUAAAUUGACAUUAGUGUACAUUUGAGGAUUAGAGCGCUGGUCUGUUUGUGUUAAAGACUCGGUGAAGGCGAGUAAAGGUUGCAACAACAAACUCUGCUUCAUCUCUUCCAACAAAGUCUUACUUGUGUCCAUACCCGCAAGGUAUCCUCCAUGCACAUAUCCACUGAACUUUUCACUUGUGUGUUCUCCUGUGAAUAAUAUCCUUCCAAAUGGAGCCUGAUGAAUCACAAAAACCAAAUCAUAAAUUCCCACAUAAGUGCUAAAAACAACAAAAGGUGCUGUAAAAAUACCUUGACAUUUCGUUGAAGCUGAUUAUCAGAUAUCAUAGGGUAAUUGCUGUAGCUACCGCGCUGAAACCGGUUGUUCCACCAUCUAGGGACAAGAAUAUCAGUUGCGUAAGGAAUAGUGGGACCAAACAUGUCCCUCAGAACACUCAUCGCCUCUUUCAGUGUCUCCUCGUCUGAUUGGGACUCCACGCGCUUUGACUGCUCGUUGGUCAACGUCACGACCAGAAUGUUAGACCCCGGGUACGCAUUUUCCAUGUGCUGAUUUAAAACAGGAGCAACAACAGUUAGAUUUACAGACUGCAAGCUGGAGAGUAGAGAGCAAGCAAACUUGUAAUAAUAUAACAAGCUACAUGGACCAUGCAGCUGGUUAGACACUCGAGAUAAUUUAAAGCAAUGAUGAUAAUAAUCAAAGGGACCCCCCAGGUGAUUAAUAAUAAGAUUAGUAGGGAGUGCAUGUGCCACGUUUCUCACGUAUGUGGACUGAAUAAAAAGAUGCAUUGAGAUUAACAAACUACUGAUAAUAUUUUAAUUUUUUUAAGGUAAUCAACCUGCCAAAAGGUGAAGUAGCCGCGUUGUUCGUGCGCAUAGAUGAAAAACUCUUGGCCAGGACCACAUGGCCAGAAACAAUGAGGGAAUUUGAGGAAGAUCUUGGUGUACACCAUCACAUCACAUUUUUGUAUAGCUUCAGUUUUCCAUUUCUGUCACCAAUAAUAGUACUGGUUAGUAAGAUCACUUGAAUAAAGAUAAAAAGAAAAAUAUUCUGACUUCUGAGACAAAGUUUAACAUGCAUGUUUGUUAAUUGUUUAUGUUAUCUUAAAGGACUCCUUCUUGAAUUAUGUGGAUCAACCAUGCAUAACCAACCCAUUGUAUUUGAUGUAUGGUUUUGAUAAAAAUAAAAAAAAAUGAAUUCUGACUUUCUUUACCUAAUGGCUAACGCAAUUUUAUAUUUCCUAGGUUCACGUACAUUGAAUGAUUAAAAAACCUCCCCCUUUUUGUGUUAUCUUUAGCGUUAAAUAAGCAUAAAAGAUAAGACAAAUAAGUAGUUGAUUAUAAACUAGUAAUAAUAGGAGAAGAGGAGAAAGUAAGCUAACCGGUAAAGGAGGCUGGAAUGAGAUAAGAUUGGAUUGGAGAACACCAAUACUAGCAGACACGAUCACAUAAUUGGCCUCGUAUUCGGAACCAUCCUCUGUUUUCACCACAACACCAUUCCUCGACUGUUGCACCUCCCUAACCACCUGCCAUUAAUUCACCACUAAUAUAAGAUUACUAAUACUACUAUAGCAAUAGGUGCCAAAAACUAAGCCAGCUGGUUUCUGAGAGGCAAUAAAUAAAAACAAUGACCCCACACAACUUGAAAUCAAUUUUCACUACAAAACAAAUGCUGAGACUGAAGAGAAACCUAGCAGCUGUGGUUUAGUUGUCAAACUUAGCAGGAAAAUGCAAAUCAACAACAGCUAAAAGGCAAAAAGGAGCUUUUCCAAAAUAACGUCAUAAUAUACUCCUUUUAACUCAAGUAAAAGAGGUCCAUCAAAACCUCAUCGUUUAACAACAGUCGAAAGAUAUUUUUUGUGCACAGGUGUUGAAGAAGAAAUAGUUUAAAAAAAAUCUACAGUACCUUGUUUAGUUUGAGGCGGUUGUCCAAAAUGUUACCAUCUGAGGUAUAGAGAAAGCCCUCGGCCAUUUUGUAAAGCAAUGAUUCGUAACCUCUUUCAUCAGCAACCAAAUAUUCCCUUUCACCGAAGUCCACGUAAGUCGAUAUUGGCUCAACCUCUGAACAACACGGUAACGAAUACAAUGUCAAGAAAUUGCUAGGCGGUAAUUAUACGUUUUGUUGAUUAGACGGACUUUUUUUUUUUUAAUGUUUAGAUCGAUUUUUCAAAAAUCCGUUAAAAAAAUUAUUUCCUUUAAAUCCGAUUUACCGUGUCAGUACUAUUAGAUGUAAUGAUGAAAAACACUGUUAUAAAACAGACAAAAUAUUAGAUGUAAUGAUUACCUGCCAUCUCGAAAUCAUGCAGGAUGAAGUCAAUAGCGAGUUCUAUUUUGUCUGAUGUUGUCACAUAUAGUUCAAGUAUGAGUCUCGUAUUGUUGAUAGAAGAUUCUUCCAGAGUUAUUUUGAAGGACAACAAUAUGGUUUAAGGAAGCUAAGUAUACAAAUUUAUUGAAAAGAUUGGAAAUAUAUUGAGUUUUAAUAAAUAUAAAUUGAUAAUUUUAGAACCCAGAACCCAAUUAAUAUCUUAAACCAAAACAAUUUUGGAUUCAAACAUGUAACUAAACCUGAACAGAACCCGGCCCAAACUUUUAUAAUAACGGAAUGAGGCUAAAACUCAUGAACCUGAAAUCCGACUGGGACCCCGAUUGUCCAGCCUUGGAUAACCUUCUUGUCCAUUUUAUUUGGUCAUGAGUUUUAUAGAGGCCAUACUGGUGCAGAGCAUAUGACUUCCCUUCUUCAUAUUAUAAAAAGAAUUCAGCCCAGUCUUGUGACCUAUAUUAUAAAACGAAUUGGGCCUAAUAAGAAAUAUGGGCCAUUUGUUUUAUAAUAUGGAAAGCCCGAAUCCCAUACUUCAAGGCUUUGCUUAUUUGUCUUGGCUAAAGCAUCAAUUUCAUGGGUUGGUUUUAACUUUUAAGAGAAGGAUGAUGCGAACUAGCAUCUUGCAGUUCUGGUGAGCAGCGUAGAAACUGGUUAUGAGCCACUUGUAAUCUGAUUGGUGUUUUUGGAAAAGACUCCAUAUCCCAUCUGUACUACUUCCCAUCUUUGAUCAUUAUGUUACAUGAAAAUUGUACAACUUGUAAAUAGACCACUAACAAAAUAAGGAUGGAUGUUAAGUUAAAAUGGUAAAAAUCACUUUAUCCUAAAUGUCCUUGCGACAACCCUAUGGAGAAAGAAAUGAGAUACUGUGUGGGGCCAGUAUCAUAAUUGAUAAGUUGACCCAAUCUGUCAAACAUUUUUCACACAUAUCAUCAUCAUGUUAAAUUUUCUUCAUCUAAUAGUCACACUCACACCAAAUGAUUCCCUACCAAACAAGAAAAAAGAACAAUCGUCAAGUAAUCUGACAAGGGGCAUUACUUGUAAAUUGUAACUCUCUACAUACUCGUAACGACCGGACGAUUCGUGUCCCUUUAGAGUUUUUGAUGAUCCUCUCUCUCUCUCUCUCUCUUGUGUUCACUCUUCCCCUCAACCUUUGGAUUCUCCUCGCGACUUCUCUCUUUUGGAUUCGCCGUUGGAGACUUUAAGAACAGCUCUGCCAUUUCAUUUCUAUAGUUGCAAAAGGUAAAGACUCGAGAUCGUCUCGUGGUGGUUCAUGGUUUUAGGGUUCAAAGUUCCUAAUUUUACUGUUCAUUUGAACCAAAGUUAUCGAUGACGUCAUGCUCACACUCCAAUCUGCAUUUUAUAGAAACCUUUAGUUUUUUUUUUUUCUACUCCUCUUCUUAUUGGUUAUAGACUAUUUCAUUGCGAGUGAGUGUGUGUGUUGUUGAUUAUUUCUCUUGCUGGUUUGUUGACAGAGGAUGAGUACAGAUCUUGUUAGAGAAGAUGAUGUUGAGGAGAAUCCUUCUUCUGUCUCUUCGAGAAUGGACCUAAAACGGAUUCAUCAGUGGCUGACACAAGAAGAGUCCUCCGGUUCAGAACUAUUCAGUAAUAAGAGACAAGUGGUUGAGACUGAUAGUGGUUCCCGGACGAGUUUCUUAACUCCUCCUCUUAUGUCUGCUUGGGACAGCUCACUUGUGCCUAACUGCUUAUUCGAUCCUGCUAAUCCACAGCAUACAUCACAUCUCCUUGGUAGAUAUAUCUCUCCUGUAGACCAGGAGGUGCUUCAUGGUAGCUCAUUUAAUCUUGACACCAUUAGAAAGGUCACAGUCAAUAAUCAAGUGUGUGAAUCUCAAAACAUGCCCCAAUCCAUGCUUCAGUUUUAUGAUAGCACCCCCUCUUUUGGCCAAACCUGCAGCAGUAUUGACAAGAGCUUCACCUUGCCAGGGCCAAACUUGAGUUAUGAUAAAGGAGAUGAAAAUGUCUUCUCAACAUUCCAUCCAUUUGGGAAAGGAGUAGAAAGCUUUGCGUUGAU
Molecule: long non-coding RNA, 6467 nt
Filed under: Brassica napus (rape)
Lineage: Eukaryota; Viridiplantae; Streptophyta; Magnoliopsida; Brassicales; Brassicaceae
Description: long non-coding RNA (BNAP_LNC012688)
Source: RNAcentral